AAACAGGAAGUGGUUGAGUAAUGAAUCUGAAAACUUAUCACAAGAUAUAGCCGACUUCAAUAAACCUUUUAGAAAUCCUUAUUAUAAAGUUCAUAAAAAAAAUGCAACGAAAAUAUUCAUGGGCCGGAGGGAUGAACUGACGGACAGACUGACGGAUGAACAGUUGGAAGGACGGACAAACAGAGGUAAACCAGUAUACCCCACUUUUUUAAGCGGCGGUAUAAUGAUUGGAUCAACAUAAAGACUUUACAACAAUAAUAAUAUGAUAUAAUAUAAACCUUCAUAGCACCAUAAGCCUCAGUCACAAUCGGAGCCAAAACAAAAUAGAAAAAAACAACUAUAUAUAUCAAAUAACAGUCAGUAUCAAGACAUGCACUACAUUAUUCAAAAGAACUAUUGUUUAACAAUACAAUCGUCAGUUUCCC
RNAcentral lists this long non-coding RNA (425 nucleotides) under Mytilus galloprovincialis (Mediterranean mussel). The record is from RNAcentral. Lineage: Eukaryota; Metazoa; Mollusca; Bivalvia; Mytilida; Mytilidae.